AUUGAACGCUGGCGGCAUGCCUUACACAUGCAAGUCGAACGGUAACGGGCCUUCGGGUGCCGACUAGUGGCGAACGGGUGAGUAAUACAUCGGAACGUGCCCGAUCGUGGGGGAUAACGAGGCGAAAGCUUUGCUAAUACCGCAUACGAUCUACGGAUGAAAGCAGGGGACCGCAAGGCCUUGCGCGGACGGAGCGGCCGAUGGCAGAUUAGGUAGUUGGUGGGAUAAAAGCUUACCAAGCCGACGAUCUGUAGCUGGUCUGAGAGGAUGAUCAGCCACACUGGGACUGAGACACGGCCCAGACUCCUACGGGAGGCAGCAGUGGGGAAUUUUGGACAAUGGGCGCAAGCCUGAUCCAGCCAUGCCGCGUGCAGGAUGAAGGCCUUCGGGUUGUAAACUGCUUUUGUACGGAACGAAAAGCCUUCUUUUAAUACAGGAGGGUCAUGACGGUACCGUAAGAAUAAGCACCGGCUAACUACGUG
Molecule: ribosomal RNA, 482 nt
Filed under: uncultured bacterium
Lineage: Bacteria
Description: partial 16S ribosomal RNA
Rfam family: Bacterial small subunit ribosomal RNA
Source: RNAcentral